This 271-nucleotide ribosomal RNA is filed under the name uncultured bacterium. Its description in RNAcentral is "partial 16S ribosomal RNA". It matches the Rfam family "Bacterial small subunit ribosomal RNA", at positions 524 to 794 of the family's 1533-position model. The record is from RNAcentral.
UACGGAGGGUGCAAGCGUUAUCCGGAUUCACUGGGUUUAAAGGGAGCGUAGGUGGGCAGGUAAGUCAGUGGUGAAAUCUCCGAGCUUAACUCGGAAACUGCCAUUGAUACUAUUUGUCUUGAAUAUUCUGGAGGUAAGCGGAAUAUGUCAUGUAGCGGUGAAAUGCUUAGAUAUGACAUAGAACACCAAUUGCGAAGGCAGCUUGCUACGGAACUAUUGACACUGAGGCUCGAAAGCGUGGGGAUCAAACAGGAUUAGAAACCCCGGUAGU